GACUCAAACUUCUUUUUACCCCUUCUAUACACCCCCUCGAUCGACGGGUUCUUCGGCCCUUUGCGUGCAUACGACGACGACGUUGAGAUAAAAUCACGGAAGCCCGGAAUGACGACGAUACGGCGACGGGCGAGUGAGUAAAGGGUGCAAUGGUAUAGUUUCUGUAUCGAUGAACGCGAUAAUAAUCCGCCACCGUAGACGUCGACACGCCAACUAUUUAGAAUAUUAUUUAAUGUGCGUUCAUAAAAACGGCUUU
Non-coding RNA from Cinara cedri, 256 nucleotides. NCBI's taxonomy places the organism in Eukaryota, Metazoa, Arthropoda, Insecta, Hemiptera, Aphididae. The record is from the annotation of a GenBank genome assembly.